GCUCUCAGUCCAAGUCUCCCUGGCACAAUGACGGCCCUUUCUCUCAAGCCCUCUCCUUUCACUGAGACCCUCUGUGGGACAGUCUGUGCUGAAUCUCAGGUGAACAAAGGAGGGCAGAACUGAAGACAAUCAAAGCCCCAGCAUUCAAGAUAGGCAUCUCUCACCUUGAAGUCUUUUAAAAACUCCAAAGGGGCAAAAAUAAAAGCCCAAAGACAAA
Molecule: long non-coding RNA, 217 nt
Filed under: Mus pahari (shrew mouse)
Lineage: Eukaryota; Metazoa; Chordata; Mammalia; Rodentia; Muridae
Description: lncRNA (MGP_PahariEiJ_G0006006.1)
Source: RNAcentral